AUCGUAUUGUGUACAUAGUCAGCAUCUGCCGGCGGCCCUCAUGAUGAUUUGUUUAAUUCAUAGUUCCUCUGGUCCGCACCAGUUCUAAUCACCAACCUUGGCAGUCCGCCAGCAGGGACCCUCACUGAGUCUGGGGACACCCGGCGGGAGCGACAGCUCAGGAGAUCCGCAAGAACGGCCCGGCGUGUCUCCAGAGUCGCAUCCGCGCCCGCCGUACCCCACCCCUUACAGCACAGCGUCACGAGAAAGACCCAACCCCCGACCCGGAUGAGCUGAACAAGGGUAGCAGGGGGAGGUGACAUGGAGACCAACAGUAGGACAGAGAAGAAUGAAGAAGUUUUACUGCAUGACACCAUAAGGGCGGCCAAAUGGUCCAGAACACCAGCAUUUCCAGGAAGAUAUCCCCUACCUGAUGUUAUGGAGGUGGAAGACACAAAACGAAACACAGAAAAAACUGUGACUUCAUGAGUGAAGGGGAAGAGAAUCAUGGAGCUGAGGGAUCCUUUAAUGUCUUCCUGUCAGUUGAAAAGUGACUGAAGCAUUUUUUUGUGAGGAAUUUAAAGGUGUAUGUGUGUUUUGAGGAGCAAUAAACCUAGUUUUGGCUGUUUGUUUCUUGGAAAAAAAAUGUCUUGUCUGCAUGCUGCAUUGCAAUGCCACAGUCAUUGAGAUGCAGUUUGAAGGCCACAGAAAUGAUUACGUACGCAAUUUUCUUGGUGGAACCUGGGCGUAGUAAUACUUUAUCUUGUUAUAUAAUUUUACAUAAACAAGCAAGACAUUGAUCAAUGAAUGACAAGUGCAUUUGAUAAGUUGAACUUUAUUUCAGAGCCAAAUAAUUUUGUUUUUUUUUCAGUUUGCCUUUCUUGUUCCUGUCGCCAUAUGUAAAAGGGAGCAUUUUUCUGUAACAAAAUAAUGUUAAAGCAAGAAUUUACAUAUCCUGAGGGAUGAUAUUAUUUGUGUAUUUACGUGUAACAAGCACAAAAGCUGGUCAAAAUUUGUAUUGGUCUCGUGUAAAAUGCAGCUUAGAUACUCAUUUCUGCACAUAUUUAGGUGCGUCCAAGUCUGAAUGAUGGUCACACGUAUUUAAAGUUAAAGUCCAACAAUUGUUCUCCUCAUUUGGGCCAUCCCCGGGAGGAAAGAUGACCUCAUAGACCGUAAAAUAUAAACGGUCUACGGGUGUGCAGACAGCCGCUCUCACAAUCCUUCCUCCGGUCCGUGAGGAACGAAGUUCAGCGCUGGCUACACGUAUUUAGGCAAUGACGUGCACGUCACUUUCUAUCCUAAACUCAAAAUAAUACAUUUUCUCCUAAAUUAUAAAAUGUGUACAUGUCAGGCCUUUAAUAAAUUAAACAGACUAAAUCAUCACCU
RNAcentral lists this long non-coding RNA (1365 nucleotides) under Oryzias javanicus (javanese ricefish). Its description in RNAcentral is "lncRNA (ENSOJAG00000011454.1)". Lineage: Eukaryota; Metazoa; Chordata; Actinopteri; Beloniformes; Adrianichthyidae. The record is from RNAcentral.